GUGCCAGCAGCCGCGGUAAUACAUAGGGAGCAAGCGUUAUCCGGAUUUAUUGGGUGUAAAGGGUGCGUAGACGGAGAAGCAAGUUGGUUGUGAAAUCCCUCGGCUUAACUGAGGAACUGCAACCAAAACUACUUCCCUUGAGUGUUGGAGAGGAAAGUGGAAUUCCUAGUGUAGCGGUGAAAUGCGUAGAUAUUAGGAGGAACACCAGUGGCGAAGGCGACUUUCUGGACAAUUACUGACGUUGAGGCACGAAAGUGUGGGGAGCAAACAGGAUUAGAUACCCUGGUAGUCCACACCGUAAACGAUGGAUACUAGGUGUAGGGAAUAUUAAGUUCUCUGUGCCGCCGCUAACGCAUUAAGUAUCCCACCUGGGGAGUACGACCGCAAGGUUGAAACUCAAAGGAAUUGACGGGGGCCCGCACAAGCAGUGGAGUAUGUGGUUUAAUUCGAAGCAACGCGAAGAACCUUACCAGGGCUUGACAUAUACCUGAAAAGUUAAGAGAUUAACUCCUUCUUCGGAACAGGUAUACAGGUGGUGCAUGGUUGUCGUCAGCUCGUGUCGUGAGAUGUUGGGUUAAGUCCCGCAACGAGCGCAACCCCUACAGUUAGUUGCCAGCACAUAAUGGUGGGAACUCUAGCUGGACUGCCGGUGAUAAAUCGGAGGAAGGUGGGGACGACGUCAAAUCAUCAUGCCCUUUAUGUCCUGGGCUACACACGUACUACAAUGGCUGUAACAGAGGGAAGCAAUACAGUGAUGUGGAGCAAAACCCUAAAAGCAGUCUCAGUUCGGAUUGAAGUCUGAAAUUCGACUUCAUGAAGCCGGAAUUGCUAGUAAUGGCAGGUCAGCAUACUGCCGUGAAUACGUUCCCGGGCCUUGUACACACCGCCCGU
This 891-nucleotide ribosomal RNA is filed under the name uncultured bacterium. RNAcentral's name for it is "bacterial SSU rRNA". It matches the Rfam family "Bacterial small subunit ribosomal RNA", at positions 505 to 1397 of the family's 1533-position model. The record is from RNAcentral.